RNAcentral lists this small nuclear RNA (164 nucleotides) under Sphaeramia orbicularis (orbiculate cardinalfish). Its description in RNAcentral is "U1 spliceosomal RNA (ENSSORG00005024873.1)". It matches the Rfam family "U1 spliceosomal RNA". From Rfam's summary of the family: U1 is a small nuclear RNA (snRNA) component of the spliceosome (involved in pre-mRNA splicing). Its 5' end forms complementary base pairs with the 5' splice junction, thus defining the 5' donor site of an intron. The record is from RNAcentral. Lineage: Eukaryota; Metazoa; Chordata; Actinopteri; Kurtiformes; Apogonidae.
AUAAUUACCUGGCAGGGGAGACACCAUGAUCAAGAAGGUGGUUCACCCAGGGCAAGACUCUGCCAUUACACUCGGGUUUUACUGACCCUUGCGAAUUCCCCAAAUGUGGGAAUCUCGACUGCAUAAUUUCUGGUAGUAGGAGACUGCUUUCGCACUCUCCCCUG